GGGAUUUCUGAGGGCAGUGAAACUACUCUAUGGGAUACCACGAUGGUGAAUGUGGGACAUGAAGCAUUGGUCAAAACCCAAAGAACUCUGCAGCACAGACAAUGAAGCUUAAAGUAUGCAAUUUAAAAUUAAAUAAACUUAGGAGACUGGAGGGAUCCAAAGAUGGCACACAGAAUGUGAUCAAAGAGUCACACUGUAUGACAAAUGCAUGCAACGACCUCACAGAAGGGGGUGGGAGGACCUCACAACCUCAGAAACUCUAGGAAUGACUAGAAUCUGUAAAACUAAAGACGAAAUAGCUCACAGAGAAACAGCGUGCUCCAGUUGGCAAAGCCGAUUCCCAUGGAGUUGGGUGAGAGUUCAGAAUUCUGACACCAUUACUCAUGGUAUCAACCAUGGGUGCCACAGCUGAAUGGGUGUCUCCAAAGCACCUACUAUGUGCCCAGCCAUGUGAGACACAGCUGUGAGCAGAAUAGAGACCACCCCUGCCCUCACAGAGCUCAGGACCUCAAGGAGUGAGGGACGCGGAGGGAGAUCACCCACACAAUCAGGUUGUGACCGUUACCCCCUGAGGCUCCACCUGUCUGGUUCUCUGGCCGACUCUGACGACAUAGAGGAUUCCCUGGAGCUUCAGCCUCCCCUGUGGGGUGGUCUACAAUCGCUGGACUGCCACAUUCUUUGUGAUAGGGCUCCAAACACGUACACAUGGAGCCUUGGCUCUAUGGCCCUGUGCCUGCAGUUGGCAUCCCCACCAUCCCUGCCUUUCUCCUGACUCAUUCUGGCUCAUUCUAUCAGAUUCAACUUGUGCAUCACCUCCUCCAAGAAGCCCUCUCUAACUCCCUGACCAAGCUGGCAUAGGCAUCCCUGCCUGGAGCUGCCUCAAUACCAUCUGCUUCUAUCUCCGUGGUGCAAGGCACUGCAAUGACUUGUCUAAACAGUUCCUGCUAUAGGGCA
Molecule: long non-coding RNA, 954 nt
Organism: Canis lupus familiaris (dog)
Lineage: Eukaryota; Metazoa; Chordata; Mammalia; Carnivora; Canidae
Exons: 3
Source: RefSeq, a predicted model, not a curated record